RNAcentral lists this ribosomal RNA (380 nucleotides) under uncultured Thermoplasmata archaeon. RNAcentral describes it as "bacterial SSU rRNA". It matches the Rfam family "Archaeal small subunit ribosomal RNA", at positions 471 to 851 of the family's 1478-position model. Lineage: Archaea; Methanobacteriati; Thermoplasmatota; Thermoplasmata. The record is from RNAcentral.
UAAAACCUGCAGCUCACGUGGUGAUCAUUAUUAUUGGGCCUAAAACGUCCGUAGCCGGUUUAGUAAAUGCCUGGGUAAAUCGUGUAGCUUAACUAUACGACUUCCGGGUAGACUGCUAAACUUGAGACCGGGAGAGGCUAGAGGUACUCCUGGGGUAGAGGUGAAAUUCUGUAAUCCUAGGGGGACCACCAGUGGCGAAGGCGUCUAGCUAGAACGGGUCUGACGGUGAGGGACGAAGCCCUGGGGCACAAACCGGAUUAGAUACCCGGGUAGUCCAGGGUGUAAACGCUGCUUGCUUGAUGUUAGUUGGGCUCCGAGCCCAACUAGUGUCGGAGAGAAGUUGUUAAGCAAGCUGCCUGGGAAGUACGGUCGCAAGGCUG